This is a long non-coding RNA of Paramisgurnus dabryanus, 448 nucleotides long. RefSeq lists it as uncharacterized. The record is from RefSeq and is a predicted model, not a curated record. Lineage: Eukaryota; Metazoa; Chordata; Actinopteri; Cypriniformes; Cobitidae.
CCCAUCCGGUUUAUCUGUCUGGGUUCGAAACACACGCGCUGGGCUUAAUGUGUGUUGAUGGAGGCAGGUUAGGACCCCAAAACGUGUGCGUGUGUGCCAUGCAUGUCGAGAGGGGAGGAGGUUGUGGGUCUGUUUGUGAAUUACCCUCAGGGGAGUGAAACAGGCUUGUGGCAAUUUUGUGACACAAAUAUACACCUGCCAACACAUGGACAAAGCAGGUGACCGAGCAAAAUAACACCACAGCAGCGAUAAGAACAAAGGCUUUGGGAUGGGAGGAGGGUGUGCCUCAGGACAGAGAGGGGUUUUCUGGGUCCCCUGCUGAACUGAAAACCCCUGGAGCUGCUGCCACCCACUGCUCCGCACGAAUUAAACUGACAGCAGCUUUUUACACAGAAAAUAUAAAAGUCCUGACUGUGGGAGAAGAGUGCUGUGUGAACUUAUUUGGUUU